Molecule: long non-coding RNA, 854 nt
Filed under: Rattus norvegicus (Norway rat)
Lineage: Eukaryota; Metazoa; Chordata; Mammalia; Rodentia; Muridae
Description: long non-coding RNA NONRATT008459
Source: RNAcentral
UGCAGAGUUGCCCCAGAGUCCUACCACUGACAGCUGUACCUUUUGUGUGUGUCUGUGUUAACCAUAGAUUCCUCCCAGAGCUCAGAUACUCCCGGCUCUCCUGGGAACACAGUGUAUGCACAAGUCAGUCACCCGAUGCAGGAAAUGAAAAUCCAAAAUCCUAUAAAAAAUGACUCCAUGACAAUUUACUCCAUAGUUAAUCACUCCAGAGAGCCCGUUUCUCCUAGGCUGAAUACUCUUAAGGACAUCAAGUAAGUUGGUGAAAGACUUUAAAGAAAGCCAAGCAGAACACACCUCCUGAUCCCUUGGAAGAGCACAGAAAAGAAGCCUGUUUUCCAACCGGCAAUGGGAUCCAGAUACCCAGGGUGAUCACUUCAGACUUGAUCCUCCAUACACAUGUCAGACGCUUCAGGAGUGGCAGGAUCUGUAGAGACAUAACCCCAAAAUUGCUUUCCAAUCAAAUCCAGGACAAAUCCUGCUUUGGAUAACAUACCCACGUGCUGCUUCCUCUCUGAUAACUAAACGAUCAGACUUUCGAUGGACAGAUCAUGAUUCAGCAAGGAAUUGUUUCUCCUCUAGAAGGCAGCAGGAUGCGAUUGGCUUGUAGAAAGAGCAUGGUGUUUGGCUAAAUGUGUAGCAUCUGGCAUUGGAUGGGCCCACACACAUGCCCUGACAAAUCAUUUACUUAGACAGGCCUCCUGGGGUAAUUCCUAUGUUCUUGGACUUUUAAUCUCAUAGCCAAGAAUAAGAGGAGGAUAGCGAUACACCGGUUCCAUUGCUCACACCAGGAAUCUAAGCCAUACCUGACUACGGUUUAAUCACCAAGCACUUGAGACUCUACCUCCAAAAUAUAU